RNAcentral lists this long non-coding RNA (22798 nucleotides) under Prunus persica (peach). Its description in RNAcentral is "long non-coding RNA (PPER_LNC007221)". The record is from RNAcentral. Lineage: Eukaryota; Viridiplantae; Streptophyta; Magnoliopsida; Rosales; Rosaceae.
CACCACAUUCGGGUCCGUACCGGGUGGGAACGACGAUGGCACCAGAGCCGCGAACGGGCUUCCGUAGCCCGGAGCCGACGGCGGGUAUCCACCCCCGCUGCUUCCGUGGCUCUGGUGAGGCUUCUCUGGCGCGUACGGCGCGGCGUACGGUGCCGAUGGUGCGCCGUAGGGUGCAGACGGCGCGCCAUAAGGUGCAGCCGGCGCUCCGUACGGUUGCGCUUGGUGUUGGUGGGGCUGGCCGGGUUGGCCUGGCUGGCCUGGCUGCGGCGCGGCGUAGGGUUUGCCUGGUGGAGGCGUGCUGCCGUAGCCGUAGCCGGGGGGCGGGUGUGGGUAUCCAGACAUUUUUAAUUUUGUUUUCUAGUAGAAUAGAAGCUUUUUGAAGAUGAGAAAAUGUUCUGAGAAUUUCAGAGAGGGCUUUGAGCUGAUGGAAAACAGAUCUAUAUAUAACUGAAGUUGAAAUCUCGGACCCGAAGAACUGAGUAAUUACAUCGUUGCCCUUGGCUUUAAAUGUAAUAAUAAAAAGAAUUUAAUUUUUUAAUUAAUUUUAAAACAACUAAUUUAAUUUUAAAAUAAGUAUUCUAUCUUAUUUAAUUAGCUAGGACUAAUCUUCAUGAUUAAGGUCUAAAGUUUGGAUUGUGAAACAAUUUGAUUAGUAAAAAAAAUUAAAACCAUGUGCUUGCCUGGAUUAAAACAAGGGUUAAAUGUUAAAAUGGUCCAUGUGUUAUAGUUAUUUGGCAAAUUUAGUCCAUUUGUUUUUAAUUUGGCCAAUUUAGUCCAUGUGUUUUACUCUGUUAGCCAAUAUUGUCCAUUAGGUCAAAUUACCAUUAAAAAAUUCAUUGAAAUUUUUAUAAGUAAUAAAAAAAAUUAUUAAGUUCAAUUUAUAAAAUUAAAAAAAUUUGGAAUCCUAACAACCUCUAUGCCCUUCUUCUCUCAUGCCGUCACCACCACCACACCCAUCAUGGCAACCACCAUGAGCAGUCCCAACCACCACCUAUUCUCUCUCUCUCUCUCUCUCUCUCUCUCUCUCUCUCAUACCAGAACAAAUGGAUAUAAACCGUAAAGUUAUUAAAAGAGAAUAUUAUCAACUUCAUCUCAAACAACCUCAACAUUGAAAUCCUUAUUGAGCUUCUUCUAGGGAGGUGAAGAUGAUUUCAUGGCAUCAAGCCAACCGUUGGACUAACAUCAUCGAGCUUUCCUUGCUUUUUCCUGGGGAUGUAUCUGUACUUGCCAGAGGAGAAUGAUGCUCCUUGCUGUGAGUAUGGCAACAAACUAGAAUGGAGGCCUAGUCUUGAUUUAGCUCUCGGUGGAGGCGGCAUGAGAGAACGACAUAGAGGCUAUUGGGUUUCCAGAUUUUUUAUUAUGUAAUUAUAUUUAAUUCUGUUAUUUGUGUUUAUAAUUUUUAUUUAUUUGUAAACUGAACUCAAUAAUUUUUUAUUAUUUUUUAAAGCUUUAAUGAAUGUUUUAACUUAAUUUGACGGCAUGGACAACAUUUACUAACGGAAUAGAACACGGGAAUUAAAUUGGUCAAAUUAAAAAUACGGGGAUUAAAUUGGCCAAGUGAGUAAAACACAGAGACCAUUUUAGCAUUUAAGCCUUAAAACAAUAUUGUUUUCUCUUUUUUUCUAUUAACAAAAAUAAAAAGAAAUGGGAGAAAUCCUCAAAUUAAUUUUUUUGUAAUAAUUACAAGGAACUUAGGUUCCAUUCAGUUCAUGAGAAAGGAAGUUUGGGUAUGAGAAAUCAAUUGCUUUCUCAUGUUUGGUAAGUCUAUGUAUAGGAAAUGGUUGCCGUCACAUGAAAAAGUAGGGAGAAAGUGAAGCCCUCCUCUCAACUUAGGUUUUGUUUUCGCUUAUCAUAGGAAUGUUUGGGAAAAUGAGCCAACAUUAAAUGCAUAUUUUUCACGAUCAUUUUGUCCCCAUUAACAAUUUAGAAUUACAAUAUAUCAUUAAAUUCAUUUUUUUAUUUGUCUUAAUGCUUAACAUAAGAGAUGUUAUAAUUGUGAAUGAAUGGGAAAGUGUUUGCCAGCUUUAUUUUCUAGUUUUGGCCUUUCUUCCGGCUCUACAUCUCUUAUGUUAAGCAUCAAGACAAAAGGUAAUAAUGAUUAUUUUUUGAGAACCUCGACGGAACGAGGGAAACUUUAUUGAUAAAGCGAAGAAUGACAACGGGGGGGACAAUGUGUCUGACCCCGACUUAACACAUCACACAAUAGGGCGUCCUGAAUAAGAUCAGGGGGCACCUCAAACCAAAUAAAGUUGUCCACAUUAUGCAAACCAAAACGAGCAAGUCGGUGUGCAACACCAUUUGCUUCCCUAGGAGUAAAUUGAAAAAGAGAGCUAGGAAACUGUUGCUGAAGAUGCUUUACAUCUUCAACAAUGGUACCAAUGUUUGAAUAAUCCUGUCCUGCUCGCUUUAUUGCUGAAACCACCACAGCAGAGUCCCCUUCGAAGAUGGGAGAUGCAGUCCCAAGUGAGAGAGCAAGAGCCACCCCUUCACGAGCUGCAAGAAUUUCUGCAUGUUCAGCCGACAGCACUUCCCCAACUGAUUUUGCCACUGCCGCCACAAAACCUCCAUCCGCGUCUCUGGCAACAACCCCAACAGCCCCUCUACCCGAAGUAGGAUCAAAUGCUCCAUCAAAGUUAAAUUUGAGGCGGCCUGACGGUGGUGCUGCCCAACGCACUGGAUCCCGCACCCGAUCAGUUACUUUGGACGGAGUAUCAUUUGCCGUAAUAAAUUCAUGCACAUACUGUUGAGCAAAACCCACGACCUCAUGUGGAGAACGCUGGACUCCCUGCCACAACAGUGCAUUUCGAUUUCCCCAUAUAGCCCAUAACAAAGUGAUAAUAUGAUCCCGUUGCGCUUUACUUGUACCCUCCAGCAUUUCUCUCAGCCAGUCCUUCAUUGUAUGACAACGUACCUGAUGAGCAUGCCUUGUCAACAAAGAAAUAUUCCAAGUAGCCACUGCAAAAGGACACAUAGCAAGAACAUGCAGAGCACUUUCAGUGAUGUCACCACAAAACAUGCACAUGUCUUGCAUAUCAACCCCCUUCUUAAUUAAGUUUGCCUUGGUAGGAAGAAUAUCAUGGGCUACACGCCAUGCAAAAAUUUUAAGCUUUGUAGGUACAGUGGCAUUCCAAAUAUGUCUCCAUAGCAUACCAGUAUCUGAAUUGGAUGAAGAAGACUCGUCCUCAUCACCAGAAGUAACUCGCAAGGCCACUCUGUAUGCACUCUUUACCGUGAAUAGACCAUGUUUAUCAUAAUUCCAUACAAUCCGGUCUGGUGGUGCCCGAAUACUCAGGGGGAUUCGUACAAUGUCAACCACAUCCACAGGUAAAAAAAGAUUAUUGAGUUUCUGGAGAUCCCAUUGUGGAGAGCCCUCAUUACAAAUCAACUCACUCACCUUGGUAUUCUCCAUACCAUCUAGGGGGGAAGUGAUCACAGCAAAAGUGGCAGGCCUGGGCACCCAUUUAUCCCCCCAAAUUCGUACUGAUUUUCCAUCACCUAUUUGAAAUCUUGAUCCCAUUUCCAACACUUUUCGAGCCGUCCAUAUACUCUUCCAAACACAAGAUGGCCUUGACCCCAGUGUAGCUUCCCAAAAGUUGGUCUGUGGAAAAUAUUUGGCUUUGAGAAGUCUGCUCGCCAAUGAGUGGGGAUUAUGAACCAAACGCCAACCUUGCUUGGCUAGCAUUGCCAUAUUAAAAGCCUGCAAACACCUAAAGCCCAUACCACCUUCAGUCUUCGCUUUGCAUAAUCUCUCCCAGCGCAUCCAAUGAAUUUUCCUAUUUUCCCCUUGUUGACCCCACCAAAAACGUGCCAUCAUUUGUUCUAUCUCAUGACAUAACCCCUGAGGCAAAAGGAAACAGCUCAUAACAUAUAAGGGAAUAGAUUGGGCAACUACCUUCAACAAUACCUCUUUUCCUGCAAUGCUCAAAGUCUGUUCACGCCAACCUUGUAAUUUUUUCCAGACCCUUUCCUUCAGGUAUCGAAAACAAACGGUUUUAUUUCUACCUAACAUCAUUGGGAGGCCAAGGUACGUUGCAUGAGAGUCAACCCGAGGAACCCCUAAUACACUAGCCAAGCGGCUUUGGGUAUCCAUAUGAAUAUUGGCACUAAAAGCCACACAACUUUUUUGACAAUUUAUCUGUUGACCAGAAGCAUGCUCAUACACUUCAAAAAUGUGCUUUAACACCCCACAAUUAUUAUCAGUCGCCUUUGCAAACACAAAACUGUCAUCUGCAAAAAAUAAGUGGCUGACUGUAGGAGCUCCCCUACAAAUAACGAUCCCUUGCAGCUGCCCUUGGCGUUCUGCCUUUGAUAGCAACGUGGUAAAACCUUCCGCACAAAGAAGAAACAAGUAAGGCGAUAAAGGGUCACCUUGCCUUAAUCCCCGUGUUGGGUAUAAAAUCCGAGUAGGUUCACCAUUCACCAAGAAUGAGUAGGAUACAGUUGUCACACAAUCCAUAACCAUCCUUACCCACAGAAUAGGAAAACCCAUAGCCAACAUCAUUUUCUCCAAGAACUCCCAUUCCACACGAUCAUAUGCUUUACUCAUGUCCAAUUUCAGGGCCAAACUCCCCUUCCGUCCUCGUCUCCUUUGUUUCAAAAAAUGAGCGAUCUCAAAAGCCACUAUAGAAUUAUCUGUAAUCAACCGUCCAGGGACAAAAGCACUCUGACUUUCUGAAAUAACGCUCUGCAUAACAAACUUCAUACGAUUCGCUAAAGUUUUUGCUCCAAUACGAUACAGAACAUUACAUAGACUUAUGGGGCGCAACUGAGCCAUGGUUCGUGGCUCCUUAACUUUUGGUAUCAAAGUCACGAAAGUAUGGUUUAGUUGUCGUAACAUCUCAUUGGAUUGUAAAAAAGCUCUAACAGCAGCCACUACAUCAUCUCCUACAAUUCUCCAAUAUUUUUGAUAAAACAAAGGAGGGAGACCAUCUGGACCAGGUGCUUUUGAAGGUUGCAUUUGAAAAACUGCAUCUUUAAUCUCCUGAUACGAGAAAUCUGCUAUUAGUACCUGUUGCAUAUCUGCCGUCACUUUAGGCUCCAAGGCAGAAAGAAUUUCCUCCAUCAUACUUGACCCACUGGAGCGGAACAAAUCUCCAAAAUAAUCAAUUACAAUGGAUGUUAUUCCUUGUCGAGACGUACGCCAGCAACCGUUGCUAUCCUCCAACCCCUUGAUAAUAUUUCUUCUUCGUCUAUUAGUUGCCUUUUGGUGAAAAUAGCUAGUAUUUUUGUCCCCCGCCUUUAACCAAUUUUCUCUAGAUCUUUGACACCAGUAUAAUUCAUUCUUCGCCAACAGCUCAUCAAGGGAUUUUUGCACAACCCUUCGAUCCUCUUCCACCCUUUCAGAGUAAGGGGCCUGAAAUAAACUAGCCAAUUUUGCACGCAGCACUCGAGUUUCCUCCUUGAUAUGUCCAAAGGUACUUUUACUCCAUCUUUGGAGCACCCAAGUCAUCUGCUUUAUCUUUUUGUCCAAGCCCACCAUAGGAUCAAGAUUACCCACAGACUCCCACACCUGUUUUAUUGUUUUUUCACAAUCCACAUGAGUGGUCCACAUUGCUUCAAAGUGAAAACGACGAUAUCGGCUUUUUUGGCACGUUGCAUGCCUUAUUCUCACUAAAAUGGGGAGAUGGUCUGAACGGCUUGGGUCUAAAUGCUGAACGGAAAAACCCGGAAAGAGAUUUUGCCAAGAUGUUGUAGCCAACGCACGAUCCAGCCGCACUCUAACGAAACCAUCUCCAAAGCGGCACUUCCAAGUAAACUUGUACCCAUUAAAGCCCAAAUCUCGGAAACCCAAUUUAUCCACAAUGUUUCUAAAACCUUGCAUCUGUCUGUUAUUUCUUAAAGGACCACCUUCUUUUUCAUCCGUGCUAAGAAUUUCAUUAAAAUCUCCUACACAUAACCAGGGCAGUUGAUUAUGGUGCCCUAAUUGAUCCAAUAAUAUCCAUGACUUCUCCCUAUCUUGCACCGCUGGAAAGCCAUAAAAAACAGUCAAUCGCCAUCGAUCUCCACCUCCAUUAGAACCAAUUUGUACAUCUAUAAAAUGAUCAGAAAAAGCACAAACAUGGACAUCCACCUCUUCCUUCCAUAACAAUGCCAAACCUCCCGAAUAACCUCUACUACUCACACUUGUCACGCCCCUAAAACCAAGUUGUUUUGAUAGUUUCGCCAUGUGAGCACUAUUACAACGAGUUUCACAUAGAAAAACAAUCUUGGGAACUUCUUCACGAAUGAUACUUUUCAACCCAUUAACUGUCGAGGGGUUCCCAAGCCCCUGACAGUUCCAGCUUAGUAGAUUCAUGGCUUCCGGCGGGGCUGAAACGAGUCAGCCACCGCCGAUCCCACAGAGCUUGAAGAAAGAUCCGAAAAACAUCUUCUUUUUUGAGCCGGUAAAACAUCUCCAAACACCACUGCCUUGGGGUCCCUCUUCCUACCUCGACCUUCAGGUUGUGUGAUCUUACCUCUCACACGGUUCGCACUCCGUCCCCGACCCUUAGCACCAUAACUAGUCCUCCCAUGCCGUCUUUCAUUCCCUGCCUGUCUAGUGGCUUUAGACUGCAUGACUUGCCUGAUUAUAGGACUCAACCCAAAAGGAUCAGAAUCUUGUUGGGUUCCAACCAUGUCUAAGCCCACACCCUUCCUCCCAUCAUGUGUUGAAAUAAGCCCACUCCCUUCAUUGGGCCAACUUUUACUCCCAAUACCCCUAUCAUCAGCAAGUCCAAGGCCCCCAUUUAACUCCACGUCAUUGAUAAUUGGAAGCAAAUCAGUACAAUUCCAAUUAGUCCCACAAUCAUGCUGCUCAUUUAAAGCUAACGUUAGCUGCCUAUUAGAAUCCGCAAUACACUCAUGAUUGGGCUCCCAAUCAAUCCCCAAAUUAAGGCUGAGAUUUAAAUCCGGUAAUACAGGGCGACUCAAAUUUUCCAUAACGUGCAAGUUAGAAUUACUAGCCAUAAUUGGAGCAUUUAAUGGCUGUAAAACUUCCCCAGUAAGAUUCUCUUUGUCCAAUCCAACACCGCCGCCAUGACCGUCGUGAGCCACCUCUACGAACUCCUCCACCUCCUCUUCCAUAUCUAUUGGUGCCUUCAUAGACCAUCCAGGAGGGUCAGAGAUCCCAAAUCGCCUUCCCAGGGGUCUACGAUAUUCAGGUCCAAGAAUGUCUUCCUGAAACCAUCGCCCAUAGGGUUUUGCCACAUCGUCUACUUGUUCUCCCUGAAACUUGUGGCAUUGACUUUCAAUAUGAUCGAAGCAUCCACACAGGUAGCAAACGUGCGGGAGUUUUUCAUAUCGAAGGUCAACCCAUUCCACCUUACCCUCUUGCAACUGAAUCGGCAAACAACGCCUUAGUGGUUUGGUAAUAUCUAAGACAACUCGGAUUCGCAAAUAGCUUCCAAAACAUUGGCCCCGCUUGCUUUGAUCUGUGACCACAUACUCCCCGAUCUGUUGCCCGAUCAUCUUACCCAUCUCUCGAGUCAUGUAGAUUAAAGGCAGACCUUUCACUUGAACCCAGAACUCUUGUUGGCAUAACGGAAUCCUCGUCGAGUGCACCAAGUCAUCUGCUUCAGCAAGAACUAGCAGGAAAUGAUUAAAUGUCCAUGGACCUCCCCGUAAUAUUGUCGCCCUAGCCGCAUUCGUCUUAAAAGAGAACACAAAUAAAUCUGCCUCCAAGUCUGCAAUGUCCACCUCCGCCUUUGGCCGCCACAGCAUAUGCAUGGUUCGUUUAAAGGCUUCUUUAUUGAUCGAUUGUCUCGACAGAACUUUACCCACUAGUAGGAACCUUGGUGUUUUCAACGUUCCUGCUUUGUCUGGCUCCACAACCAGUGCCUGUUGCUCCUCCUCAGUGAGAGAAAAGCGAGAAGCAAAGUUUUGCAGCAUAUUCUCCAUGGUCGUGAAAAGGAGAGCCAACAGUGCUCCUCCCCUAUCCGCACACCACACUGCCUGUUGCAAUCCUCGCCAACAGCAGUCUCGUAUCAUACAGAGGUACUACAAUCACCACCGAGAAAACCAGCCGUCUUCUCGGUCCGCCGCCUCCCUGGUGUUUUUAACUCUCCUAAAGAAACCUAGAGACCCGUAAUUGUCAUAUUAUUCUUACAUGAAAUGCAUAUAUUUAUUUUAUGUAUUUAAUGAUUAUAUUAUCAAUGGUAUCGAGAUAUUAGACACCUCUUACUUAUAAAAAAAAUUAUAAAAUAUGAUGUGAUUGUCGUCACACUCUUAUGUCGUGUUACAAACUAAUUCACGUGUUAUAAAAUUUAAGCUACGGUUUUGGCAAGACCAACUUUUGUUUCCAUUUGCAAAAGUCUUUGUGAAGGUAUCAUAUCAUUUCGACCUUAUAGAAUUGCAAGUUGAAUUCAGAACCAGUUCUCCACCUUAAUUCUUAAGCCAUGGAAUUUUUUUCAAUUACAUAAAGCAAUAAUAUUAAUAUCCGUUGAGAGUCGUGACCCACUAACUCCAUCUUCAGCCAAAUAACCUUUCCUUUGCUUCUGAACACGUGUCAUUGACCCUCCUCCAGCCAAAGAAGGAAAACAGUACAGAUGUUAUAAAGAUUAUAUCCUAAAUUUGCUAAAGAGUCUGCAAUCAUAUUUGUUUCCUACAAAUUAUGGGCAAAUUAUAACGACUUGAAAAUCUUAAAGGAGGAAAUUAAAUUAAUUACCAAUUUGGAUUGCUGUCACUUUUUUAAAAGCUGCUUCUGUUAUAUUUUGAAAAUAAUCAACUAUAAACUAAAGUAGUUUCAGGUUUGGUAUAAAAAUUAGUGUAAAACAGUUUGGUAAUGUCAUUUAAAAUAAUUUAUGAUGGUAUUACAUGAAUUGAAAAAAUAUUUACCCUUCAUUUGGAUAGAGGAAAAUAACUCGGGAUUUAGCUAAAAGUCAGGAAUUGAAAAGAAGAAAUUGAUAUUUUCAUUGUUUGGCAACUUAAACAUGAAACUUAUUAAAUGACGCACGGAAAAAAUCGUGGAAAUUGGGGAUUGAGAUUCUUGAAUUUAAUUUCCAUCAAAAGAGUCGUCAUUUCACAAUUCCAAUUGAUCAGGAAUUUGUUUUCACUAUAAUUUUUUUUAUUUACAAAAUUCAACAUAUAUAAAUCCUCGAGAUCUCCUUCAAUUAUAUAAUUGAAAUGCUAAUUUUCAAUUUAGGAUUGCUGUUACUUUUUAAAAAAGCUACUUCUACUAUGUUUUGAAAAUAAUCAGUUAUAAAGUAAAAUAGUUCCACGUUUAAUAUAAAAAUUAAUGUCAAACAAUUUGAUAAAUUUUAGUAUAAAACUAUUGUAAUUGUAGAUAACGAUUAAAAUGAUCAUAAUAUUGAAAGUGGCGGUGGUAGAGAUUGAGGUAAUAGUGGUGGUGACGAUGUUAUUGAAAUUUUUUGUUAUUAAAAAUAAAUAAUUAAACUUUAUAUACGCAAGAAUAAUAGAAUUAGAUUAACAUACUAUUCCACUUUUGAAAACCACUUCCUGUUACUUCUUACGUCUGUAAUUGUGGAUUAAAGGAUUUGCUAGAAAUUUUAUCGAGUCUAGUGUUAAAGUGCUUUAUUUUUUUCUUCUUUUUGGUGAAAAGAGGAUAGACUUUGCCAAUAAAAAAAACCAAAAAGCAACACACUUUACGGGCAAAAAACAAACAUGGAUGCUAAGCGAUUAGAGGAGAGGAUUUGCUCAAAGCAAAAGGCAAGUCUGGUGGGCCAUAUAGAUUAUUUUUUUUUUUCGAAGCUUACUUGGGUUACAGCCAUAGCCCUCCCUGUAGUUUCCUCAGUGCUCCCCUCUCUCCUUCUCUCUUUCCCCAUUUUCAGUGACAUAAGAUUUUUAUUUAUUGUCUUCGUUUUGUUAUGAUUUUUCUCCACCCAUAAUAAGUGGCUGCGUCUCGACGUUGAAUCUCCACCUGUAAUAAUAUGUGAAAAUUUUAUUUUAAAAGUAAAUAUAUUACGUUGGUCCCAAAAUUCAAACAAGUGGUAAAAAAAAAAAAAACUAUUUCAGAAGAGAGGAUAAAAAGUAGACCAAUUAGAACAAAUCCAAUCAAUAAGAUCAUAAUUAGUUUGAGGUCCCUUAAGUCUUAAAGAAGAAAGUUGAUUCCAAAGGUAAAAAUGAUAUAAUUAAUGCAUGAUUUGAUCAUGAUGUGCGUAAAAUGAUAAAUUAUGUAAAAUAAUUCGUACCAUGAUCUUUAUAUAUAUAAAAAAGAGGCUGCUAAGACUUUGAAGUGGCCAGAGGCUCUAGUGCGAACCACUAAAUGAGAAUCUUAAAUGAGGAUUAGUCUGAGUCGUCCAAAUUGAUCUGAACGGAUGAACAUGUAAAAUUAAGCUUUCAGUAGAGGCGCUGCCAAUGGCAUCUUCCUGGCAAAGAAGAAGACUCAGGUGCGAUUCGUUUCAUCACGUCUGGUUUCAUAUAAAACUACGUGGUUUUGUUUAUAAAGUCUUUUAUUUUAACAAAAUUCUGUGUUUUGAUUGUUUUAGUAUGAAAAAGAGUUGAAUACAUUUUUGAUUGGGUUUUACAUGAAAAUUUAAUUUGGUCACUGAGAAUUUUUUUAAGCCAAAUAGGUUACUGUGUUUCCUAAAGUUUAUAAUUUAAAGACAUUCCAUAUCUUCUGUUAAGUGCAGUUCUUCCUCUAAGGCCUAGUUUAGGAUUUCUGCCGCUUUAAAAAAAAGCUGCUCUUGCUGUGCUUCAAAAAGAAUUAAAGGUAAAGUAAAGCAAUUAAACGUUUGGUAAACUGUAAUUUUAAAAGUGUUGUGAGUAUGAAAAGUUUGGUAAAAUUUUACUGUAAAAGUGUUGUAACUAUUUAUAAUGACUAAAAUGAACAUGAUGCUGAAAGUGCUUUUUACUAAUCUGUUUGGUAAAAAAUAAAACUGUAAAGUGCUUUUAUACUUUUCUCCCUAAAAAUUAUAUUAAUCUUUAUUUAAAGAAAAGUAAAAAUUCAAAUUCAAAUUCAGAGAGAACAACAUUAAAAACUAUUACACAUGUUUCAUUUAAUUAUAAUAAACAAACAACAUUAAAAAAUAUUAAUAACAUACCUCAAUUUUGUCAUGCCACAAUUCAUCAAAAGCAUCAAUAGUCCCAAGUUUGGAAUUCCACCAAAGACCAGUUUCCUUUCCAAUUCUUUCUAUAUUUUCCACUAUUCUUUAAGUGCAUCCCACUUAUUUAUCAAUUGUGAUUUAUCGUACUCGGCUCUUGUAUCUUUACUCAAGCUAAUCCUCACAUUUUCCCAUCUUUCUUUCUUAAAGUGAGUACAAGGAUGAUUUCCUGCCUCCACCUCCUUGAUACACAUGUUACAAAAUAUAGUUGUAUUGUGAUUAUUACAUAUAGCCGGAACUCAUGAUCCACUAGCCACAUUAUUAUUUUUCACCAUCUAUGCAUGUCCUUAUAUAAAUAUGUAUGUAUUGGGAGAUGAACAUGUUAUAGCAAACAAUGUUUUUACUAAAAACAUACAUAAUGCCUAAGUAAUUACCUAUAGGAAAACUGGGGCAAUAAGCCCCUUAAGCCGUAAUUUAAACUUGAAGACAAUUCGACUCCUACCAAAUUUUCGGUAAAGUCUUCUCUGUAAUUAAAACAUUUUUCAAAUUACAGUACCCUUAAACGAGCAUAGAAAUAAUCCUAACAGGUAAGGGCACACAUAACAGUUAAGACUAUUGAAAUGGGCAUCCUGCCCUCUACCUGAACUUAAAGACGAGCAACUAAGAGCAACUAAAAAAUUUAAAUUUACAACCUGGGAAUAAAGACAAUGGGUUAUGAAGGAAGUCCUACGGUGUGGACAACGGGGAUGCCUCGACGUAGUGGUCUCAACCUCAGAUAUCUAGAACUUUGGGGGCACAAAACAGAAAAUGUGAGUAGACGAAAAUAAAGCUUGAACAUAAAUUAUACUCAACAUAAUAACCCCCUCUGUUUUAGAAAAUAAUGCCAAAACACCAUGCAAUAGAUUUCUUCAGCAAAAGUACAUAAUGUCAUCCGAUAUUAGAAAAUAUUUCAAUUCAGUAAAAUUAAUAUCAUAACGUACAAUAAGGAAAACCAUAUAAUCAAUACUUCUCAAAUUAUUGGAAAACAAUGUAAACUUAUUAAUUUAAUCCUAUAGGGACUUUUUCGUUCAAGCAGCUGCAAAUGGGCCUGGGCUGCUAUAAAGAGCAAAUGGAUAUAGUUGCCCCUGUGCCAAGUUUAAGAAUCAGGCCCCAAGAGUGCUUUGAAAAGUUUGUGGAGCCUUAGGAAGCACUUUGGUUCUUUCACCAACAAGACAAACAACUGUUUACAAAUCAAUAUUAUGGCUUGGCCUGAGGAGCUUGUGGCAUUCAAGCUAAGCCUCUAUGAGUUUAGCAUUAGAGAGAGAAAGCUUGGAUUUCUUUUGGGAAGCAGAGUUUUAGAGCAAGUGGAUAGGAAAAUUUGGGAAGAUUUGAUGAGAGAAGAGAGGGAGAGAUGAGGGUGAAAGAAUGAGUGGCUUGAUUAGGUUUUCCAACAGCUUGAUGAUUGCUUGGUCGUGCUUUAGAUGGUUGUCUCGCUGGGUAGGAGGUGCCUCCUUCUAUAGGCGCUGAAAGCCCUUUUUGGUUCAAGAACCCUAGCUAACUUUCCCCCAAAUUUUGUCAAGUCCUUUCCUCUAUUUCCCUUCACUUCCUUCGAUUCAAUCCCUUUGGGUGAGAAUUCCUUAAUCUAAGCACAUUGAGAUAGAACAUUUUCGGACUCCAAGGUUUUCCUGCAGCUGAUUUCUUCCAUCUUGGGUGAGGUGCCUCUUGCAUUUCCUCUUGGUUUUCCUACUAGAACUUGCAGAGGAAAGAACGAGUAAGGGUGUUGGUCUAAAAUGUGUCUUACUUCCAGCAACCCGUGCACAUGGGUUUUGCUUGGUUUUAACGAUGGCUUGGGUUUGAUUUGGUUUUAAUAGGGUGCUGGGAUAUUUUCUAAGAUGCUAGGUGUAAGGUUUUUUUCGUUAUGGCAGCUACUGAUAAGUCUGGGCUGUUGUAAAGAGCCAAAUGUGUGAAAUUGCCCCUUGAGUCUGAGUUCAAGGAUCAGACCCUAAGAGUGUUUCGAAAGGGUAGCUGAGCAUUAGGAAACACCUUGGUCCCUUUCACCAAUGAAACCAACAGUUGCUUACAGAUAAAUUCUUGGCUUGGCAUGAGAAGCUUGUGGCAUGAGAGCUGACCAUUCAUGAGUUUAGCAUGAGAGAGAGAAAGAGCUACGAUUUCCUAUGAGAAACAGCAUUUUUAAGGCAAGGGGGAAGAGAUUAUAAAGGGGUUCGUUGAAGAGAGAGUGAUGGGGGAAAUAACAAUAGGUGUGUUAAGUAGUUUUCGGCAGCUUGACGAAAGCUCUGUCAAGCUCUGGAACGAUUUACCAUAGGAGAAAAUGGGAGAAGAUAGAGAAAUGAGGCUCGAAAUUGCAGAGGUUUAAGGGAUGAGAGAUGAAGCUUACUCUCUGGAUAUGGGUUGCUUGCCUUUUUUUUAAGUUUAUCGGAAAGAGAGAAAGAAGAUAGAAGCAUGCGUGGCUUUAACAGAUUUCCAGCAGCUUGACGAAAGCCUCGUCAGGCUCCUAGGUUGCUUGACAGAAGAGAAAAUGGGAAGAGAUAGAGGAAUAGGGCUAGAAAUUGAAGUGUUCCAGGGAUGAGAGGUGAUGCUUGCUCUCUCUAGAUGUGGGUUCUAGAGGGGAUGCUUGCCUUCGAUGAGUUGAAGAUGACUUGGGUAGAAAGUGCCUCCCUUUAUAGACGAUGGAACACUCAAUUUUAUCAAACAACCCUCUCCCAUUUUCCUUUACUUUCUUCCAUUCCAUCUUAUUUGGUGAAACUUUCCCAGCUUGAGCAUGUAAGCAUGAAGCUUUUUGGAGUUCCAAGCCCUUCACGCAGCUGGACUUCUCCAUGUGGGUGAGGCACCACUCACUUUUCCUUCUUGUUUUCUCACCAAAGCUUGCAGAGGAAAGAAUGGGUAAAAGUGCUAGUCAAAAGGUGAUUUACUUCCAUCAGCACAUGGGUUUGCUUAGUUUUGGUGGUUUAGCUUCAAUCUGGUUUUAACAAAGAUGCUGGAUAUUUCCACGACGUUGGAUAUUUUAUAAGGUGCUGGGCUAUUUUGUUUCCAGCGGCUUGUGAUUCCUUUUGAUUUUGUCAAGCUGCUGGAAGCUUUGGCUGAUGUGGGAUUUUUUCAUGUGUUAUAGGCCUUUUCUUAAGGUGAUGGGCUAUUAGGUUUUCUCUCUCAUGCUUAACCAUAUGUUUAGGCUCAAGGAAUGGGCUUGAAUUUUGAUGCUCCCAAGUAGCCCAAAACUUCCACUCCUUGGACCAUCAAUGGGCCUCGUGAAUACUCUUAACUAUUCAUGCCACAACCCGUUCAGUAAGCCCCAAGCAUUAGCGUGGCUUGGACCCACUUAAGCUUGUAGCGUGGUGUGUUGCUUAUUUGCUUGGCGUGGCAUGUGUGCAAGAGCAUAUGACAAACUCUUGCGUACCCAAGUUGGGUUUCUUCCCAAGUUAGGUGUCAUACUGAGCUAGAAAUAUAUUUGGGCCCAGCCUUUGAUUUUUUGGGCCUCAACACUGGGCCAUUUCUCUAAGGUGUUGGGCCAUUUCUUUAAGGUGCUGGGCUGUUUUUUCUCUCUUAUGCUUACCCAUAUAUUUGGGCUCAAGAAAUAGGCAUGAAUUUGGUGCUCCCAUGCAACCCAAAAUUUCCACUUCUUGGACCAUCAAUGGGCCUUAUGAACACUUGUAACCAUCCAUACCACAAUUUGCUUAGCAAGCCCUAGGCAUUUGCGUGGCUUGGACUCACUUAAGCUUGUAGCAUGGCUCGAUAUUAAAAUAAAGGUUAUCUUCGCUCGACGUUGUGUGUCAUUUGGCGUGUUUGUGCUCAGGCUCUGCCUCAUUGUAACGGGAUAUGGCUGGGCCCAGUAGUGCUUGACAGGACAAUGAGCGUGGAUUCUUGGCGUGGCAUACAGAUCAUAACUUAUGUACACAUAUACGACAAAUUCCUGUGUACCCCUAUCGGGCUUCUUUCUCGAUUAAGUGUUAUACCGUGCUAGAAACAUAUUUAUGCCCAACCUUAGAUUUUACGGGCCUCAACAAAUCCUUAUUGUAAAAUUGUAUAUUCAAAUAUUCAUAUAUGUGCAAAGUACUCUCAAUACACAUGCUCAAGAAACCUCAACAUGGAAAUAAAUCCACACAUAUAUCCACACACACACACACAAACUUCACCAUCCUUAUUUACCGGGGAAAAACAAUUCAAUACAGGGACUAUUUUUAACUAGACCACAUGGCAGAAUCCUCAAUACAUAUAUGGUUAGGUACAAGCGGUCUAACCGAGACUAUUGCUCCCCAGACAAGCACUACAUAAUCCUCAAUACACGUGCAGUUGAAAUAAGUCUUAUGCUGGCAGACUGCUCGUUAAGGGCCUACGGCGCAUCCCACCAAGGAUGCCCGGGUUUCAGAGGGUAAAGUGAGACUCAAAUUAAGUUUCAGGGGACAUAUCAAUAAUUAAGCAUUUCUUUUUCAAUAGACAUUCACAUCUGAUCUUGGCUCAUAGACAUUUCAUCCCUCUUUUUGAUUAUUUAUUGUCUUGAUGGAUCCUCCACUCUCUUUAGACUAGGGCUGUCUUUCGGCCGGAUCGGAUCGGAAACAGCAAUUCCAAUUCCAAUCCAAUAUCUUUCGGAAUUCAAUAUAGAGUUCCGAUUCCGAUUCCGAAAAAAUUUGGAAAUUUUCGGAAGAUUCCGAUUCCAAAUAGGUUGUACUUUUAAGUCCCUACACAAAAUGACUGAGUUUGAAGAUAUUUAUAAAUGACUAAACACCUGAAGUUUAUUCUUGCAGUCGAUAUGGGACUCCAAGAAGAAAUGAGAGUGCAACUUCUCUCUCCACUCUUUUCUUGAUUUCUACUUGGUUACUCAUCCAUCACUUCUCCUCUCUCUUCCGUUUCUUCCUUUCUAAUCCAUGAAUGCCAACCUUCAUUUUCUUUCUUACUUAAAACUCUUCAGAUAUGGAACAAUAUGUACGGAUCCCGUUAGGAAAAAAACAAAAACACUUCUCCAACCAAAAAAGAAAUCAUUCUUCAAUUCUUUAUCUCUACUGUUUCUUCUCUUGCAUUUUUAUUUUUCUGGGUUUGCACUAAAUCAUUUAUCCAAUGUAUAUGUUCUCCAUUGAAUCCUCAUUGGAGCUCUUCCCUUGUUGCAAUACCCCAUACCAUCCAGAUUUUUUCUUUAUCAUUUAUUUUUCUGUUUCUGCACAAAUUCAUUACUUUUUUGGUAUUGAGAUGGAAUGAAAACCUUUAAUUAAGAAAGAAAGAAAAUCAAAGAAUGAGUUUUAAAAAUUUAGAAAUGUUUCAUUCUUUUUGUCGUCACUUCAAUUCAAUGUAGGAUUGGAAAAAAAACGCAGAUGGUUUUUUUUUAAAGUUAUAAUUGCCUUGGACCUCCUCUUUCUGAUUAUCCUUGGAACCUAUUAUAAUUGCCCAAGGCAUAGCUUAUUUUGAAAAUUAUAGCAUGUUUGAAUUCACCUUAUAUAUAUAUAACAAUCUAUUAUUAUAUAUACAACAAUCUAUAUAGUAUAUUGAUUAUUAAUCAAAGUAAUUUGUCCUACAUAUUAUAUAUUUAUAUUUUGUUCAUGUGAAUCAAAUUUUUUUGAUUCCAUGCUAAAGAUGGAUUCACAUUCAUCAAUUGAUGCUCAAGACUCAAGUUAUAGCCGAGUGACUAUCACAUUGGUUUUAGAUUCUAGUGGGUCAUGAACAUGUAUAAAGAGUGUUAGACGUUAAUCAUGCUCUAGACAAUUGUAAUACUACAAUUUUCAGGUUGGAAUACUACAAUUGUUAAAGCUCCAAUUAAUAUACGCACAUUAUAUGUGGUGUUUCAUGUAUAAAAUGAUUUUAUAAUUAAAAGUUUAAUUGAAGAUAGUUUAUAAUUUUAAAAAUACAUACAUAAAUAUAAAAUGAAAUAGUAUAAUACUUCCUACAUUUACCAUAUAUGUACAUAGUACAUAUGGAUAUAACAAGCACACAUAUGCACCUUUUUGUUAUAUUAAAUCAAGCAUAUUUGCCAAAUAUAUAUAUAGUCUUAAAGUUACAUACUACUAUGUUUAGUUUUUUUUUUUUUUUUUUGUCAAGCCUAUAUUUAGUAUGUACAAAUAUUUGUAUGUGGGUACUAAAACUUAACAAAUAAGAAAUGAAAAAUAUAUAAGACCUAUAAACUAAAAAUAAUGCAAUUAUACUUAGAAACUCGGAAUUUUUCGGAAAAAAAUUGGAAAAAUCGGAUCGGAAUGGAUUCGGAGAACUUCGGAAUUUUUCGGAUCGGAAUUUCGGAAUGUUCGGCAUUUAUCGGAAUUUUCGGAUUUCGGCAUUUUCGGAUAUCGGAUUUAUCGGAGUCGGAUUUUUUUGGAAAAAAUCGGACCGGAAUCGGUCGGAAUCGGAUUUUCCAAUCCAACUUACACCCCUACUUUAGACAAUAGGAUAAUAAUUUUGUUUCAAGUUGUUGGCGGAGCAAUACGAAAAUAUAAACUUCAGGUUUAAUUAUUGAUGUGCCCCUUGUGCUUUACCGAAAAUCCCACUUUACCCCCUACAUUUCAAACUAGGUCACUAUACCCUAUGUGCUUUAUUUCGUCAAUUGGUUAGUAAAACCGUUAACUUGCUGACGUGACAUAAAUAUUUUAGUAAUUUUAGCUAUUAAAAAAAUUUCAAAAUCUAAUUUAAAUAUAAAAAAUAAUUUUUUAAUUUUUUAAUAAUAUUUAAUAAGAUUAGAAAGAUUAAAUUUUUUAAAAAAAAACUCCAGCACCCGAAUAGCCCCACCACCACACCUCCCACCAUAACCCAAUCCAACCCACCUAGCCACCCAUGGUCAUCAUUCCACCAUGGUUCAAAUAUGAUCUCCUUACCUAAGUGAUAUACCCACCCCAAAACAUUGAUAACACUCCCUCCAAUCCACCUAGCCAUCUUCACCCCUUAGCCAUACUCACCCUUAGCCGCCACCCCAAAUUCACACCCAACCUCAAUAAUCCAAUGUGCCCCCAAGCCGUAGCCAUCCCAAUAGAGUACCCAAACACCAAAACCCCAAGCUGCAACUUCUCUUUCCUUUUCCAACUGGGUUUGUGUUUACCCUUUUUAUUUUUGAGCAUGUGGAAACCUUUAAGUAAAAAAUUUCAUUGACCUUUUGACCAUUAAUGGUCUCGAGAAUCAACUUUCUUUUAUGUGAGCGUGCCACUGUCAGCAGCUUAUAGUUGUAACAGAUUUGAAUGACUUUAUAUACUUGCGCCCUAAGUAAUAGACUUUAAACAAAUGAUUAUGAUUUUGGGUGGGGAAACCUCCCGAGAGAGUUCUUUACUACGCCUCAGACUGGUGAGGACGUCACAAUUUAUCUACAUAAAAAUGGUAAGUAAAGCAAAAUACACAAAUUCAUGAAAGACAUAACAAACUAAUUCAGGCAGAACUGCCCAAAAUACAAAGCAUAAAAUGAAUUGUUAAGUCUGGAUAAGCCUAAGAAUUUUUAGACUUUGACUUCUGCUUAAAAAUAUAGUCACAACGGUGGUUUAAGAUUAGACUAGAUUGGGUCUCUUCUGAUUGGACUGGAUGUUUCUGCACUGGAAUUGCACAUCAGCAUCUUCAACUAAUAGAGAUUAGCUGGAAAUCGAUACUAAUAUUGAGAUUGGCAGAGUUAUAAACAAGUUGAACAUAUAGAGGUUGACAAGGUGAGCAGAACUGCAAGCUGGUACUUGUUCUUGCUGAUUUUGAAUGAUCUGGUAGCCUUCUAGACAAUUUUAAAGCGUCAAUGUGUCUUUCUUAAUUUUGUUCAGGUUCUCAUAUGAUGAAAUACCUGACUUCUAUAUAUUUUAUCUAAUUUUCUGAUCAAAAUUUAUAAGCGAAAUUAAUCUAUUUUGAAUUAUGUCUGAUUUACCUUAUCUAGAUUGCGAGGGAAAUCUUGUUUUCUUCUUGGUUUUAUGAACUUCUUCUUGAUCUGGAUUGCUUAUGAAGGAAGAUUGCUUGCUUGCUUUUGUUGGUUGCAAGAUCGUGUGAUCUUUGAUUUCUUUUGAUCAAUCUGGAUUGACUGUUGGGUUUUUGCUUGAUUGGUUGGUUGGGUGUCCGUUUCUCCAAUCCAGAUACUCUUGUAUUUAUAGGAGAAAAUGUGAUGAUGAAUAAUGCUGGAUAUUUCCGAUUUUGGACUAAUCCCUCAGCAAUGCACAAGUGGCAAAAGUUUUGUCAAAUAACGCAUUGAUCAUUUUUGGCAUCUACUCAUAUAUGUUCCUAAAUGCCUCCUUAUCAUUUCUUUUGCAACAACCAAACUGAAGUGAGCAAUAAUGCCCAGAUUCUUCCAAUGUUAGUACCAUAAAUAUCUAAAUAUCCUUGUGGUAAAAAAAAAUCCUCCCAUCUUGUAAUAAAUAGCCGUGAUUUCCAACAAAAGUAAGUCUGAAUUCACUUUACAGCUUUCAUAGUCAUCAAUUUUAUUUGGAGUCUAGUUAUCAAUGGUGAGGAGUCUUUCUGACAUAUCUUAACAACUAAGAAUUUGUGAACUUUGUGCUAAAACUAACUCAAAUAAUUUGAUCCUUGGAUUAAAUCACCAUUGGUGGUAACUUAAUUCUCGAUUAUCAAAAUAUUGUGAAUUAAUUUAAAUUAAUCCCCCUUUUGUUUGAAUAGUAUGAGUCAUUCGCCAUUUUUUGGUAAAAUAAAGCCCAAUAUCAAUUUGAAAAGUGAACCCAAUACUUGUUUCAGGUUGGCGUGUAUAUUUCAGGCCCAAACAAUUUGUUUUCAUGCCUGUCCUUUUCCCAUAUUCUUUGUGCAGUCAUGAAGAACUUUAUUUUAUUUUUCAAAAUUUUUUUACCACAGCAGAGGAGAAACCGGGGUGCGCGUGAUGGGGGAGGGAGGGGAGGAUGGCCAUGCGUUAGGGGUGAUAGUUGGUGAUGGGAUGGGGAAAGGUUGGAUUAUUGUGGGAGGUGUGGUAGCUAUUCGGGUGCUCGUUUUUUAGAUUUUUAUUUAUCUUUCUAAUCUUAUUUAUGAUUAAAGUAUUUUAAAAUUAUUUUUAAAAUUUAAUUUAGAUUUUGAAAUUUUUUAAUAGCUAAAAUUACUAAAGUAUCUAUACCAUGUCAGCAAAUUAACAGUUUUACUAACCAAAUUGAUGGAAUGAGAGAACGGGGGACACGCCAAUAAAGCACAAAGGGCAUAUUGACCCAGUUUGAAAUGUAAGGAAUAAAGUGGGAUUUUUAGUAAAGCACAAGGGGCACAUCGAUAAUUAAGCAUAAAAUUUAAUAAUAACAAUAGUUAUCUUUUUGUUUUGGUGAGAUAUGAGGAAUCCUCAGAAAACAACAACUAAACACCGCACAUGAGUCGAGGCCUAGUAAGACAAAGUAAGUCAUCCAUCAACAGAGAGCUAACCCAGACAGGAGCCUUAUCAAAAAAGCAAAUUCCAGGUCCAUAUUAUAACUCUAGUUUGCCAAAUAAUCAGCAACACAAUUCUUUUCCCUUUAAAUGUGGAUAAGGUGAUAAUUUCCAAUUUGUCUCAUAAGAUCACAACAACUAUGCACCAAAGCAGCAAGAGGAUGACAUUGCAAUGAAUUGAUUUGUUGAACAAAUGAGAUAGCAACAACAACAUCCAUUUCAAUAGCAAGGUUAGUGAUACCUUUCUCAACAGCAAGCUUUAGACCAAAAUAUAGGCCCCGAACCUCAGCCUCCAAGAUAUGACCUUGGCCCAAAUUCACAACAAAAUCGGCAAUCCAGCCACUUGAGGAGACUUGAAUAACACCUCCUGCACCAAUAAUAUUAGUGGCAGCCUUUCUAGAACCAUCCACAUUCAGCUUAAGUUGGCCAAUUGUACGAGGUUUCCAAGCCAAAAAAACAUGUACUCUAUCAGGUUUCUUGCCAAAGCCAUUAGCGGCUUUAACCCAUUCAACAACCGCAGUAAAGAUGGUUUUCCUAGGAUUAAAAGGCAAAUCCACUUCAACGUUAAAAAUCGGCUUGUUACGCCAAUUCCAGAUAUACCAACAAGUAAUGGCAAAAAUAAUAUUCCAACCAAUACCAUUAGGGCUUUUAACCUUAGAGAGCAGAUUGCCUAAGAACUAAGGUUUUAGCUCAAAUAGGAAGAAGUGAGGAGAAGAAUAUAAAUUUAAAACAAAAUUCCAUACCAUCAUAGCCCUGGGAUAGUCCCUAAGAAUAUGAAUAACGGAUUCAGUUUGCCAACCACAAAGAAGACAAGAAGGAUCAAAAGUUAGAUUCCUCUUGGUUCUUUGCUCAUUGAACAAGAUUUUAGCUUGAUAAGCCAGCCAAAUGAAGAUAUGAAUUUCGGGAGGGAUUUUCAUUCUCCAUAAGUCCUUCCAAAAGGGAUCAACAUCUCCCAAUUCUCUAAAAAAAAAAUAGAGUAUGCAGAUUUAACAGAGAAUAAGCCAUUUGAAGACAAACCCCAAAUUUGAGCAUCAUGUACAGAGUUCCCAAACCCAAUAGGAACAACAGUGAUUUUUUGAACCAAAUCUUCAGUAAGAGCAUUCCUCAGCUAGUCUACAUUCCACCAACCAUUCCUAAAAAACCUGUCAAAACUGCAAUUCAAUUCUUGGAUAUUCAACACUCCAUUAUGUUGCAUUAGAGGUGUAUCAAAUAGUCAUUUAUCUGUCCAAAAUUUAGCCAAAUCACCCUUUCCAACCCUCUAGGUCAUUCCCUUUGCAAGCAAUUCAACUCCAAAAAGAAGACUAUUCCAAGUUAAGGAGUACAAAUGUCUUGUUUUCAAAUUAUGAUCAAUAAUAGAGUAACCCUUGAGGUUUUUCUUUUCAAAAAUCUGAGCCCAUAAGCCAUUAUCUUUGUUGUGCAUCCUCCAACCGAUUUUAGCCAACAAAGCCUGAUUCAUGUCCUAGCCUUCUUGAAACCCAAACCACCUUUGUUUUUAGGUCUACACAGUAGAUUCCAUUGGAAGAGGUGGACUUUCUUCUUCCUAUCACUUCCUUCCUAGAAGAAUUUUCUAUUUAACCUAUCCAAUCUUCACAAAUACUAACAUGUAAUUUUGUGGUCUGCAUAGAAUAUAUGGGAAUAGCAUAUGUGAUAACAUAGAUUAGGGUGGCCCCUCCCAGCUGAAGAAAUCAACUUACUUUUCCAAUUGGCAAGCCUGCAAUGAACCUUACUAAGCAAACUGCUUUAAGUGGAUCGAGUUACCCUAGAGUGCAAGAUAGGCAUCCCCAAGAAUUUUCCUAAGUUGUCUGUUGAAGGGGAGCCACAAAUGAAACUGAUCUCUUGAGCUAACGCCCUGCUGGUAUUAGGAGAACAAAAUACAGAAGACUUGUCAAAGUUGACAGUUUGACCAGAGGCUUGACAAAAUAAAUCCAAGCAUCAUUUCAUCACCCUAGCUUGUUGCGUACUAGCUUCAGUGAAAAGGAUUAAGUCAUCAGCAAAAAACAAAUGCGAUACAACAGGACCAGUUUGGGAGGACCUAACAUGUUUCCAUUUCCCCUAUUGAUAGCAUCAAAGAUGAUAUGAGAUAGCUUUUCAAUGCAAACAACAUAGAGGUAGGGAGAUAGGGGAUUUCCUUGUCUAAUACCAUUCUUUGGAAUAAAGGUAGAGAGAGCUCGUCAUUAACACAAACUUGAUAUCUGACAGAAGAAACACAACUCAUAACCAGCUGAAUGAAGUUACUGGGCAUGCCAAUUUCACCAAGGACCUUUACAAUAAACUUCAAAUUUAAUCUAUCAUAGGCUUUAGAUAGAUCAAUUUUUCAGGCAAUGAAGCCCUUCUUACCCUUAGAACAUUUGAACUUAUGCAUCAAUUCCUGAGCAAUAAGGAUGUUAUCUGUGAUUUGUCUUCUAGAGAUGAAACUAACCUGAUUAGGAUUCAUGAUUUUAGGCAAAAUAGGCCUUAAUCGAGUAACUAGUAAUUUAGAAAUUACCUUAUAAAGAGUGCAACAAAGACUGAUGGGUCUGAACUUGCACCAUGAAGUUGGGGGGGGAGGG